UGAGACUCCAUCUCCAAAAAAAAAAAAAAAAAAAAAAAAGCAAUCAGUUUACAACUUCUACCCCCCAGGUAUAUAAUACUUUUGUCAUUUCUUUGCAGGAAAUUUUCAAGAACGUUUGGCAUCUCCUAAACUUGCAUCUAAUUUGUCCAUGUUUUUGAACCUACUGUUCAUAUGUAAAGCCAGAGUGCCAGAAGAGGGUAGCUACAGUUCUGUUAAAAUAUGUAUACAUCGAGAUUUGCAAAUAUCAUGCAUAGUGUGAAAGAUGCUUAUUUUCCUAAAGGAAAUGGGCAUUCUCUUUUCCUCAGUUCUUGUUUUUUUGUGUGUUGAAUGAAUCCCCACUAAAGUCAGGACAGUAAGGGGCAUUAUUAACUAAUCUUCCCAGUAUUGGAUAUAUUAGAAUGAAUAACAACGGAUGAAUAUAAUACUGCUAUAUCCAAAUUGCUACAAAAUUCAGAAACCAUUUUUUUCUCAUAAAUCCAAAAAUGUCAACCUUCUACUGACACAAUAUUUUCAGCAAUUUUAUAACUUCUACUCAAUGAAGGGUAUUGAAAUAAAACAUCAAAUCUGCUUGUACUAUAAAAAUGCUAACUUUUAUGUAAGAAAAGUAGAAAGAUCAGUAAGUGUGGUGUUACAAGUUCAGAAAGCAGUUGAUAUACGAAGGUUAAGUCUUGCUGGUAUCAUAAACCAAGUUUCACCUUUGACUGGUUUGACCUGAUUAUUUCUAUUUUAACCCUGUUUUGAUCUUCAAUUUCAAGGCAGCAAGUCAAGCCACAUAGAUCAAUUCUUUCCAAACUUUUGAUUUUUAUUUCAUUUUUACAUGUGUGUAGAUUUUUGAAUAUCAAUGUAUGCGCUUUACUCCCUAGCUGACAGUAUGAGAUAUUUUAAGAAUCCCAGGAAUUUUUAGUAAUAGUUGAGGUUUCAUUAAGCUUAGUUCUCAAGUGACUUCUUAAAGUUUAUUCAUCAAAUAAUUCAGGGUGUAAAAGUAGCACAUAAACAUUAAUUGAACAGUCAUUAAGCAGUAUAACUGUUUGUUUUCAGUUGAUAGAGGACAUUAAGCUCCAUACCCUGUGGUGGAAAACAAUUACGUCUUAUGAUACACAUGCCAUUAGGGAUACUGCUACCAGACUCGACCAGUUUCACUUUACAAAAUAGCAGUGAGCUGCAGUCAGAAGUUUGCUCAAGUCAUAGGAAGUCAUAUGUUUACUGCCAUGUCCUAGCUACUUAUAAAUAUUGUUACAUGCUUCAUGCCUUAUGCUAAUGGCAAUGACUAAUGUUUGUCAAUAUCUUCACUCAAUCUUAUUUUAAAAACCUCCUCAGGACAGACUGAUCCUAGCUAGAAUGCUACUUAAAGUGAGAAUGUUUUUCUAAAACAAAUAAUAUAAAAAUCACUUAAAUAGAAAAGGUUAGAUGAUAAUUUAUUUUGAGUAUGCCAGACAGCUGCUAUUGUUAUUAAAUUUGCCAUGAGACUGACUGACCGAUAUCCUAUAUGAGAAUGCCUUAUAGAUGCCUGUAUGUGUGAUUGCACAAUGCUUUAAAGUUGUUCUACUCAUCUAGGACUGUAGGUGAAGAUGUAUGACACAAAAACAAAAAGGUGGAAAACACCCAAGACUGGCUGUUUGGAGGUUUACUGUUUUUAACAACGGAGGUGAGUCCCUUCAUCCAUUUGUGAUUUCAUUUAUGAACACUACUUAUAAGACAGGUACAGAACACUUCAUUAUGGGCCCAAACAAGUAUGUUUAAAUGGAUAAAGUAGCUCUUUGCAUCAGAUGGAAGCUAAGUUUGACAUUAAAUUAAUGUCAAAAAAGUGAGAAACUCUUUUAGUUUUAAUCUACAUGUAGCAGCAUAGUGGUAAUGUGUUGAUUUUCAUGUGCACAUAAUUUCUAGUCUUAUAUGACCAGGAUGUGAGGUUAUAAAUUCCUGUAUUACAAAGUAAAAACAAAAGAAUGCAAGAAUCCACUAAUAAGGAAAUAUAUUUUGUUGAGAAAAUGUGAUGAAUGUUCACACUGUUUUUCAGAAUGAGGAAGGUGGGGAACAAAAAGUUUCUGUGGAGAAGAAAUGUCAUCCGCCAUACAUGAUGGCUCUUUAUCGAGCCUUUGUUGAAAGUAUUACUGUAGGUAUCCUGCCAAAUAAAUCACCUUUUUUAUUAUAGGAAAAGUUCAAUUUCACUGAAGAGGGCUAAGAUAUAGGGACUUCCAAUACAUCUUUGUAGAAUGAAAUGGAAUGGAACAGUGUAGAGUAGAACAGAACCCAAUAGAAUAGGACUACAAUUAUUUGUUCCUUCCUUUAAUUCUAAUUUGUUCUGAAACAAAAAGAGAAAUAAAUGUAUGGCUGGAUAAUGAGAGGGAUAGAUGAUUCUGAAGAUAAGUUUCUGUUUUCUUCCUUAUAUAUUCUUGUAUUUUAAAGUAAUUAUUUAGGGAGAAUAAGUUACAGUUACAUGUUUGUUUAAAGAGAUAGGGAAUUGUGUAAGAUAUUUCAGAACUUAAGUCAUUUAUUUAAUGAAAAUACAUUUCCUAGGACUUGAUAUUCAGAAAGACACUCCAGAAGAGCUCAGAUCAGUUAUGGUUACUAUAGAAACAUCAUGCCUCCUUCUAUUUUGUCUCAGAGGAAUUUGGAAGAAAACAGAAAUCUUAUCUUUAUGACCAUCUUGAAUCUAAUCUUUCCAAACUCUUUCCAGAAUCCCACGUAAAUUCUCCUGUACAAUAUAACACUCUCUUUGGAAUUCACUGUCAGUUACAAACUACACUGUAGAUAAAGUGACCAUAUGUCCUGGUUUAUGCCUUUUGUUUUUGGGUCAUUAUCAUUAGCACUACCUUUCACUCUGAUAUGUGUCCCGGUAGAGAUGACAAAUUAUGGUAGCCUUAUCUAUAAAUAAUACCAUGUCAAUAAUAAUAACCAAUAACCUUACUGGAAGCUUGCUAUUUAUCAAAAGCUUUGAAUGUUUUUAUGUGUAAUAAAUUCUUCAUCAUAACUCAAUAAGACAAGUAUUUUAUUUCCCCCAUUUUACAGGAGAAGAAACAAAGAGUUAGAGAGGGUAAAUAGCAAGACCUACUCCCAUAGUGGGCCCAAUCUGAAUGUAGACGAAGGUCUGACUUUAUAGCAUUGUAUGCCAGAAGAUGGUUAUGCUAUCUUCUUUUUGGCUGGCUGAAAGAAUUAGCUUUGGUUUUUCUUUUUUAAUGUAUUCAAAGAUUAUCAGUAGUUCUCACUAUUCUUCCUAGAUGUUAUAACUAUAUUUUUAUAAUGACUGUGGAUUUUAAGAGGCAAGAAAAGAGCACCAAAGUCAACUAAAAUUAAUCUGGGUUUUAGUUUGCAUUAUUAAUUUUACUAUAUUAAUAAAAAUAACUGAUUUGUUGAGUGACUAGUUUAUGCCAGAUUGGGACUUACCCUGUGUUACAUCACUGACCCUUAACACAGCACUGCCAAGCAGAAUAUUUGAACCCCAUGAAUGUAUUUGAUUGCUUUAGCUAUUAGCCCUAAAUUGGUUCAUAGGUUACAAAUGAAGCUCAGGGCAUUAAAUCAUUUCAGCAAGCCCCUCCAGCUCUGACACUGUCAUCCCUAGCUGUCUCUAGGAAUAUUUGAUAUCAGGGUAUAAGACACGGAAUCUAGAUGCAAGGAAAAAUUCUUGGGGACAAAGGGACUUCCCCAGCACCUCAUGUUUAUAUUAACUGUUGUGCAUUGAGUGCUUAAUAAAGGCAUGCACUUUACAUAUUUUUGUAAACAUAUUUUCUUCUAUUUUUCUCCUUACCAUAGGCCGAAAAAGAAGAUAAUUUGGAUUUGAACCAAUAUUUUAAAAGUUAAUUUUUGCCAGGAUGUAAAAAGAUGGCUUUAUAGAAGAGAAAUGAUUUGAAUGGAAGGUCAGAUGUAGACAGAAGAAUUUCUUCAUCUCAACUCGCCUCACCACUACAGAUCCAAGCCUAACACAGAGCCUAACAGAAAUACUUUCCUCCAAAUACAACCCUGUUCACCAUGGAAGACACGAAAAGCUUCAGUGGUUGCUGCUGGGGGCCUUCACCACAAAACAGCCAUUCACCUUUGCUUUUGCUCUAUCUACAAAAUAUAUUCACUGGCACACUCCAGAAGUCAACUUUGAUUCAACUGUAGCCUUCAGUUACCAGACCUUAUCACACAUCUGUAAAACUGGGAAAUAAACAAGUGUUUAAAAUAUGUCCUUUUUUUGUAUUUCUUUCUACUAGUGUCAUUUCUUAUUAGCUUGAUAUAAACCUUAACUAAAGAGGCAAGAAUAAGAAAGUAAAAAUAAUUGAACUUUUCAGUCACCAUGUCAUUUUAUAGAGUAGUAUAUCAGCACAUAGUUUUGCUAUCCCUUUGAGUUCAUAGAAAUUAAUUAAAAAAUUUCCUGAUGGGCACUUUAAAAUGUAUAUUGACCCACAAAUCUGUAAAUGGUUGAAAGAAAUCAUCAUUAUUUGAGAGAAAUCAUUAACGCAGGUGUAGGAACACAGAACAACUGCAAGAUUAUAUUUCACAAAGCAAGAUCUGUAAAAAUGUAUUUACAUGGACAGUAAGUAAAAAUGUGGACUCAUAAAGAAAUUUGAAAUUUAUCAGAGAAAGCUUUGAGGAAAAGUAAAUUUUCGCUAUUCACUUCAUCUUUAUUUUCAAAUACAUUCAUCUCUAUUCACAGGUUAGAUGUUCUACACUUUAAAAUUCGGCUUUAUAACAUUAUAGUUUUCCAGUAUUAUUAUUGAUCAGUCAGCUUCAGAACAUAUAAACCUCUUUAAAACAAAUAUAGACCUAAUGCUGCAAAACCCAUUUGUCCAAAAAUCUUAGUUAAUUCCCUGCAGUCACUUCUAGGAUUUUAUCUUUCUUUAAAAAGUUGUGUUUUCUCAAACUAGGGAUAUUUCCGCACAAAGUAUAUCUCUUUCUAUUAAAUCAAUGCUGAAUUGUGUAUCUUUUUUGAUUAGUGAGACUGAAGUUUUAUUUUUCUUUUCUUUAACACAAAAUAAGAAAAUUAAAAAAUACUAAUAUUUAGUCUCUAUAUAUGGGCAUAUGGUACUGUAAAAAGAUAUGCCAAGUUAUGGAUGCAAAGCUGCCUGAAAAUGUUACAUUCCUUAAAUGAUGUUUGGGACAUUAUUCCUUGUCUGCUGAGAAAGAGAAGGGGCCACGUUAUUAUACUGAAAAGUGCAGCAUUGCCCAAAGAAGUAAGCCUUUAUUAUCUGGACAUUCAAGUGAGAAAAGUUUGGAUUUUUACUUACUGUCAAUUUUAUUUACUGUCAAGUCAGUGAAAAACCACACAUGCCCUAUUGAUGAACAGCAAAUAAAUAUCAGCAAAUGAAUUUUUCUGUCAUUGUGACUAUCAGCUGGACAGUAUGGAAAUGCUAUCUCUACAAUUUCAAGGACAUUUAAAUUAUUGGAUUAGAAUACAUUAAGAAUGAGUAGGUAAAAUAUUUUUCUUAUCUUCAUUGUUUUUGCAGAUCAGACUUGACUGAUUGUAUAGACAAAAUAAGAGAAGCUCUAUAGCAAAACUGAAAAACUUAUAUACCUAAUACAUAUGCCUCGAGAUCACAAAAAACUUCUAUUUUCCUGUUUUCCUAAGUCCAUGGUAUGGUUUUACAAAAGAGCCUGCAAUAUUAGAUAAUAACACAAAUUCCAUGUAGUAUAGACCAGUAGCCAACUGAUAACCAUGUACAACACAUACAGUAUGGAAGUAUGCUACAAUAAGUGCUACAAAAAUUCAGAAGUGAGAGCUAUCCCUAAGGAGUAGAGACAUCUAAAAAGACUCACAGCAUAGAUGGAACUUAGUACAAAGGGAAAGAGAGCCUUUUAGAUAUGCAGUUUGGUCAGUGGAAUGGGGAUGGAUCCAUAGUGUUUAAGAGUAAGCAAAGCUAUGAGUAACGUAAUUGGUUUGAAGCACAGGAUUCAUUUAUAGACGUAAGACAGGGUGAGGUUGAAAAGAUAUGUAGGAGACAAUUGCAGGGUCCUCUAUCGCCAUGAAGUUUGGACAGCAGGAAGACGUUUAUUCAGUACCUACAGGUGUGCCUGUUACUUGAGAGAUGCUGCAGUGGGUUCUAGUUAGACACCUCUGAAAAAGAUAUUUGAGUUUGAAGAGAGCGUAAGGAAGAUGAACUUCACUGGGAAAUACAGGAUAGGUUACAAUGAAGAUAGGCCAGUUUAAGUAGUAUUGAAACAGCCCACGC
Molecule: long non-coding RNA, 6146 nt
Organism: Sapajus apella (tufted capuchin)
Lineage: Eukaryota; Metazoa; Chordata; Mammalia; Primates; Cebidae
Exons: 4
Source: RefSeq, a predicted model, not a curated record